Molecule: long non-coding RNA, 384 nt
Organism: Sceloporus undulatus (fence lizard)
Lineage: Eukaryota; Metazoa; Chordata; Lepidosauria; Squamata; Phrynosomatidae
Exons: 3
Source: RefSeq, a predicted model, not a curated record
AUAUCUAAUGCUUUCCAGUUGUGGAAAGUUAUAACAAAAAAAUGGGGAGCAAGAGACAGAGAGAAAGAGACAGGGAGAAAAACAGGGCAGGAACAGUUGCUUUGGAGGCUGAUCACUCCAGUGUGGUAGCACACUCAGCUGUUUGACAUUCCUGCUCAGAGACUGGUCGGCUGGAUUGAUUGCAUUCUGUCUCUCUAGUUGUUUUGUGAGUACCAAUGUGGCAGAAGACGUUUCUCUGUUGAACACCUCUCCCACAGGACACUGAACACUGAUGAGGAGAAAAAAGUGCAGUCUUUGCAAGAUGACGCAGCCCCAGUAACAUCUAAGGAGUCUUGGCUCCUUCUUUGAUUCAGAGACCAUAAUCAGUGCAGGGCUUUUAAACAG